RNAcentral lists this ribosomal RNA (501 nucleotides) under uncultured bacterium. RNAcentral describes it as "partial 16S ribosomal RNA". It matches the Rfam family "Bacterial small subunit ribosomal RNA", at positions 29 to 523 of the family's 1533-position model. The record is from RNAcentral.
AUUGAACGCUGGCGGCAUGCCUUACACAUGCAAGUCGAACGGCAGCACGGGUGCUUGCACCUGGUGGCGAGUGGCGAACGGGUGAGUAAUACAUCGGAACGUACCUUAUCGUGGGGGAUAACGCAGCGAAAGCUGUGCUAAUACCGCAUACGCCCUGAGGGGGAAAGCGGGGGAUCGAAAGACUCCGGGCGAUUAGAGCGGCCGAUGCCUGAUUAGCUUGUUGGUGGGGUAAAAGCCCACCAAGGCGACGAUCAGUAGCUGGUCUGAGAGGACGAUCAGCCACACUGGGACUGAGACACGGCCCAGACUCCUACGGGAGGCAGCAGUGGGGAAUUUUGGACAAUGGGGGCAACCCUGAUCCAGCAAUGCCGCGUGAGUGAAGAAGGCCUUCGGGUUGUAAAGCUCUUUUGUCAGGGAAGAAACACCGGCUCUAACACAGUUCGGGAAUGACGGUACCUGAAGAAUAAGCACCGGCUAACUACGUGCCAGCCGCCGCGGUAA